Molecule: ribosomal RNA, 253 nt
Filed under: uncultured bacterium
Lineage: Bacteria
Description: partial 16S ribosomal RNA
Rfam family: Bacterial small subunit ribosomal RNA
Source: RNAcentral
UACGGAGGGUGCAAGCGUUGUCCGGAAUCACUGGGCGUAAAGGGCGCGUAGGCGGCUCAUGAAGGCUGUGGUGAAAGUCCGGGGCUCAACCCCGGGCCUGCAGUGGGUACGGGCAGACUAGAGUGCGGUAGGGGAGAAUGGAAUUCCUGGUGUAGCGGUGAAAUGCGCAGAUAUCAGGAGGAACACCGAUGGCGAAGGCAGAUCUCUGGGCCGUAACUGACGCUGAGGCGCGAAAGCCAGGGGAGCGAACGGG